This 460-nucleotide ribosomal RNA is filed under the name uncultured bacterium. RNAcentral's name for it is "partial 16S ribosomal RNA". It matches the Rfam family "Bacterial small subunit ribosomal RNA", at positions 338 to 795 of the family's 1533-position model. The record is from RNAcentral.
CCUACGGGUGGCAGCAGUGAGGAAUAUUGGUCAAUGGUCGAGAGACUGAACCAGCCAAGCCGCGUGAGGGAUGAAUGUACAGAGUAUUGUAAACUUCUUUUGUCUGGGAAUAAAACAUGGUAUGCCUCCCCUCUUGUAUGUACCAGAUGAAUAAGCAUCGGCUAACUCCGUGCCAGCAGCCGCGGUAAUACGGAGGAUUCGAGCGUUAUCCGGAUUUAUUGGGUUUAAAGGGUGCGGAGGUGGUGUGUUAAGUCAGUGGUCAAAGCUCGGGGCUCAACCCUAGCAUGGCAGUUGAAACUGGCAGUCUUGAGUUGGGGAGAGGUGUGCGGAAUGCGCGGUGUAGCGGUGAAAUGCAUAGAUAUCACGCAGAACUCCGAUUGCGAAGGCAGCUCGCCGGAUUGACACUGACGCUGAUGCACGAAAGUGUGGGUAUCAAACAGGAUUAGAUACCCCGGUAGUC